Long non-coding RNA from Sipha flava (yellow sugarcane aphid), 1169 nucleotides. RefSeq lists it as uncharacterized. The record is from RefSeq and is a predicted model, not a curated record. The transcript is spliced from 3 exons. Lineage: Eukaryota; Metazoa; Arthropoda; Insecta; Hemiptera; Aphididae.
UAUAGAAUCGUUUAUAAAUUUUAUUAAUACUAUAACUAUUAUUUUUUACUCGUAAUUCAGCUAUUACUACCAUUUAGCACUUGAUCAAAUUAAGUAAAUUAAAAUAAUUAAGAAUUUAAUUUAGAAAAAGCAAAAACUUCACACAGGUGAAAUCGGGUAAUUCAACUAGUAUAAUAUAAUAUAACAAGGUUCCUCCUGUUUCACUUGUUAAUAAUAUUUAAGGAUAUUAAAAAGUAAAUAAUAAUGAUGUAAAAAAUAUAAAUAACUAUGAUGAACAGUCCAGUUAUUGAACACCCUCCAGUAAUUGAACAAAGUCUACUUAUGUUUUAAUAUGAAAAAAACUAGAUAUCUUAUUUAAUAACUAAUUUUUGUUUUCAAUAUUAAAUAUAAUGGUCAUACUGUAUAACCAUAGUUUGAUAAUUAACACGUGAUAACAAACAAGUUAUAACAGUUUAAAAUCACGAUAAUCGAAUUUUCAUCUGUUUGGAUCAAAUUUUUCGAAGUGUUCAAUUACUAGUAACUACAAUUCAGCAAAAUCUAUUAAUUGAACUCUUGUUCAAUCACUGGUACAGCUUGAACAUAACUUUAUCCAAUGAUUGAACAGCUUGGAUUUACAAAAAAUAUUAUACAGAAUCGUGGGAGAAACAUUUGUUUUGGCCAAAACCUGACACCCAGAAGAAAAAAAACAAAAGUAAAAUAAAGUUACCUUUUGCUGUUACAGCAAUUAAGUGGAGGGAAUAUCACGCAAAUAAAGAGCAGGAAAAACUAAAAAAAGAAGAAAAACUUACACUGAAACGAAAAUGUAGAGAUGAAAUAAAAAAAUAAAAAUUUCUUAAAGUUGCUAAAAAAACCACAACUAAGCAAAAAAACAAAGAACAAGAACGUCAGAAACCAAGAACUUUAAAAUAUACAAAAAAAAAUUAAAUUGGGUAUAAUUACGGAGUCUGAAAAUGAUGCCACAUGUAGGUAUUGUAAAGAACCUUACACUUCAUCGAAAAGUGGUGAACCUUAGAUCAAGUGUUGUGGUUGUGCUGAAUGGGCUUAUGAACUCUGUGCUGAUUUUGAAAACACUGUUGCUUACAUUUGUGAUUUCUGCCGUUAAUUUUAAUUAUUUUACUUAUUUUUACUUAUUUUUAAAUACUCAAUAUUAUAUAACUGUUAUAUCUUUA